This 353-nucleotide ribosomal RNA is filed under the name Trachys fragariae. RNAcentral's name for it is "partial 12S ribosomal RNA". The record is from RNAcentral. Lineage: Eukaryota; Metazoa; Arthropoda; Insecta; Coleoptera; Buprestidae.
GCAUAUCUUAGAGCUUUAUCAAAAUAAAAAAUAAAAUGAAAUUACAUUCAAAUCCAAUUUAAUAAAAAUUCUCAACUUUUAAUCCACAUAAAUAAUUUUAAUGUAACCCACCUCCUCUUUAAUAUAAACUGCAUCUUGAUCUGAUUCAUUUCUUAAUAAAGAACCUUGACUAUUCAAAAUCUUUUAAAAUAAUCUAACACGACGAUAUACAAAUUAAUAAAAAAAGCUAUUUUUAUUGUGGACUAUCAAUUACGGGGCAGGUUCCUCUGAAAAGACUAAAAUACCGCCAAAAUCUUUUGUUUUCAAGAAGUUAACUAUUAAUAACCUAGGGUUAAACUUUACAUUAAAAUAAU